GUGAAUCAUCAAAUUUUUGAACGCAAAUUGCACUCUUUGGUAUUCCGGAGAGUAUGCCUGUUUGAGGGUCAGUGUAAAUAAAAAUCGGUGUGGUUGCUGUGUUUCUUGGUGACGUACCGGAUUUGGGUCGUCUUGCCUUGGGUUAAGUGACGUAAAAUUUUGUAUGAUUUUUUUGAAUGUAUUGAACUGACUUUACGCACGUUUGCGAUAUCGAAGACUA
Molecule: unclassified non-coding RNA, 220 nt
Filed under: Glomeraceae sp.
Lineage: Eukaryota; Fungi; Glomeromycota; Glomeromycetes; Glomerales; Glomeraceae
Description: partial contains 5.8S ribosomal RNA and internal transcribed spacer 2
Rfam family: 5.8S ribosomal RNA (bases 1-71)
Source: RNAcentral